Molecule: long non-coding RNA, 1585 nt
Organism: Bombus pascuorum
Lineage: Eukaryota; Metazoa; Arthropoda; Insecta; Hymenoptera; Apidae
Exons: 3
Source: RefSeq, a predicted model, not a curated record
ACAUUUAACCUCACACAGACAAUUCAAGAAUCAUUUCACAAUAUAUAUUGUAAUACACAGAACAGUGAACCAUCUAAAAAGGUUUCAAUCUUCUUCAAUCCCUCUUCAAUUCAAUAAUUCUCGAAAUCAAUCGUGCCGAUUGAUCGUAUUCUUCCACUCGAAAAGAAAUUUAUUUCGAAUGGUAAUAAUUAAAGUCUCGUUGAGGAACCGCGGCAGGUUCGAUAUUAUACAAAUAUUUAAUACACUUUCGAAAGCUGUAUUAAGGAAUUUCAGAAGCUUGUUCUCAAGAAGAACCAUCCUGAUUUUCAGACUGGUAACGUCACGUAACGAAUCUCGAAAUGGGAAAAGGGCCAGAGGAUUCGUGGUUGAAGGGUGUCGCAGCUCUCACGGCUUUCCGACGGCUGUCGUAGCGAAAGGGUUACAUGAAAACUCCUCGUCUCGACGACAAAGGGGGUCUUAUCUCGAAUUUCUAAAGUCCUACCUUCCUGUCUCUCGCAACGCUCGACGUUCCUUCACCCCUUAGCUACCUCGGCCCUUUUCAUCCCCGCGCCAACCUUUCACGGGAGGAUUCCUCGCUUGAGAUAUCGUUCGUUAUUAGCGGUGUUUCAUACGGUACAGCGGUGUAUCCUGAUAUUUUUUUCCCUCCUUUCUCACAGACGUAUGUGUUUUUUAAAGGAUCACAACGUGAAGAAGAACGGCACCGACGAGUGCGAAACGCCAGGGGAGUUCGCGAUGCAAGAAAAAAUCGCUUGGGGUGAAGAUGCUGGUUAAUGAGUUCGAAUGUGAAAUUCCACGGGACGGUUCGGUGAAAGUCAGUGUGACUUGAUGGGCCGCCUACGUGUCCGGGGAGAGAAAAGAACCUUAGAUCCAGGACUCAGCGGUAGGAGGCCAGAAGAACGAAGAAAAAGAGAGAAGAAGGAAAGUGCAAACGGCCUAAGGGGGCCGCCGCUUUGCAUAAUCAAAUCCUGCGAUGAUGUAGCAGAAUGCGAAGUACCCCGUCGUCACGGGUGCGCCGAAAAAGGGGCUGAGAAUCCCGCGGGCACGCGAGUACUUCGAAAAAUGCAGCCUCGUGUUCCCUUCGCAGCCUUCGUUGCCUUUCGGCUCGGUCAUAAGACCGCAGCACCCCUUACCAGACAUCUAGCCCUUGCAGAAUUCCCGGAGUAACCCGGAAACAUCUACUCGUUUUGCGACAGAGACACCACGAAUUCUUGUUCCGCAGGGCUGACGUGAAAAGAAUGAAACUGAUGGUGGAGGAAGCAUGGCGAAGUUGAGGAACUAAGUCUGGGUUUAACGAAGAGUGAUGUUAGGUGUCUUGUAAGUUGUGCGAUGGGGUAUGUCGGUGAAUUUUAUGCUUUAUAUUUCCUUUGAAAUACCAUGCAAAAUAGUUGUAGCUACCAAAUUUUGAAUUUGAGAUAUAUUGUUGAAAUAUAUUGUCAUUUUGAAAUAAUUACGUAUUUUAUCCAGAAAUUUGAAGCGGAAGCUUUAAUUUAGAAUUAUGUAAUUUUAAUACUUCAGAUCUUCAUUUCUAAAAAAGUAAUGUUCAAUUUGAGGAAAAUUAAAUUAAGGAAGAAUUUUAUAUUUCAUA